GGAGUAGCUUGUCAUGAUAAUGGAGGAGUGAAGAUGGGGCUGGAGAGUGAACGUAUGUGAGUUAGAGGAGGUCCAGACAAGCAGAAAAAAAGAAUGAAACAGAUUUAAAAUGGCUUCAGAAGUUACCUCUGAGAGUAUUUGAUCUUUGUUUUGGUAACACUGGGUCAUGUCAUUCAGGUUGGCUAAAAGCCCUUGCUCUUCAAAAGAGUUGUCAAAGAUUUAUUUUAUAAAAAUGUAAGUAAAAGACAAGCCAAACACUUUGUGUUUCAUGUUUUUUAGGUCUUUGUGUCAGCAGUAAUUUCUUGCUGUCUUAUUUAUUAUACACUAAGUAUUUCUAGAUAGAAAUUACUUCUGUCUUCUGAUUGAUACCUAUAUGAUACCCAACUAUUUCUCUCUGUAUGCGUUGUCUGUGUAAAUGUACAGGACCCAGUGGACCCUGGAGCCCAUUCCCAUCCUGCACAGCAAGAGCAGCCCAUUGCUGGCCCAGGACACCCAUGAUUCAGAUGCACCAUCCCGACAAAGCAAACAUCAGCUUCUAGUUCAAGUUGGUCAAGAUUUACCCAACAAAAACCCUGAUGGGAAACAGAGAAGUUCAGAAAGGUAA
This 604-nucleotide long non-coding RNA is filed under the name Camarhynchus parvulus. RNAcentral's name for it is "lncRNA (ENSCPVG00000006133.2)". Lineage: Eukaryota; Metazoa; Chordata; Aves; Passeriformes; Thraupidae. The record is from RNAcentral.